UACGUAGGUGGCAAGCGUUGUCCGGAUUUAUUGGGUUUAAAGGGUGCGUAGGAGGGCAGGUAAGUCAGUGGUGAAAUCCCCGAGCUUAACUUGGGAACUGCCAUUGAUACUAUCAGUCUUGAAUACUGUGGAGGUCAGCGGAAUAUGUCAUGUAGCGGUGAAAUGCUUAGAUAUGACAUAGAACACCAAUUGCGAAGGCAGCUGGCUACACAAAUAUUGACACUGAGGCACGAAAGCGUGGGGAUCAAACAGG
RNAcentral lists this ribosomal RNA (253 nucleotides) under uncultured bacterium. RNAcentral's name for it is "partial 16S ribosomal RNA". It matches the Rfam family "Bacterial small subunit ribosomal RNA", at positions 524 to 776 of the family's 1533-position model. The record is from RNAcentral.